Molecule: long non-coding RNA, 451 nt
Organism: Arachis duranensis
Lineage: Eukaryota; Viridiplantae; Streptophyta; Magnoliopsida; Fabales; Fabaceae
Exons: 2
Source: RefSeq, a predicted model, not a curated record
UAUCUCAAGUUCACUUGAUAAUUUUCGCAUCUAAUAUUAGUUCUUUACCGAAAAGAAAAAUGGCUUCUAAGAAUGCAACACUCAUUUUAGGACUUUUAUUAUUAUUAGUUAUGGUUGUUCUCAUUAUUCCUUCAAAGGUUGAUGCUGCUAGAGAUUUUUCUCAGAUAAUUUCCUCUUACGCUAAAGCAGGAAAAAUAUCAAAAUCAAAUAAUGAUAAUGAGGUGGAAGGUUCUGAUGGAGGAGUAGGAGUUGACCAGCAUCCAAAGCAUUGUGACCCCAAAAAAGUUUGUUGCCGGGACCCACCUCGUUGCAAGUAGCAUAUAAGCUACUAAACAAUAAUAACAAUUUAUGAAAAUUAUUACUAUAUAUAUAUGCUUCGUGUGUAAACUUUAUAAAAUAAAAUAUUGAAAUAAGAGGACAAGAAUAAAGAAGUAUAUUGAUCGAAAUAAAA